RNAcentral lists this long non-coding RNA (393 nucleotides) under Elaeis guineensis (African oil palm). RNAcentral describes it as "long non-coding RNA (EGUI_LNC066045)". Lineage: Eukaryota; Viridiplantae; Streptophyta; Magnoliopsida; Arecales; Arecaceae. The record is from RNAcentral.
GGUUCCUCUUAUCCAGUAUCAAUCACUGUAGCUAAAUAUCCUCUACAUUCCUUUAUCAUCAUCUGUUUAGCUUGCAGGGCUAAGAUUAUAUGUAGAGGAGUAACUCCUAUGCUUUCCAUAAAAUUAAAUUCUAGUUCAUUAGAAAUUUUGAAAUUCACACAUUUCUUAUGGCAGUGUAUUGAGGCAUGAUAAGUGGCAAGCCAAUCCAUCCAUAGUAUCACAUCAAAAUCUUGCAUAUCUAAUAGUAUUAAAUCAGCAAGCAGCACUUUAUUUCCUAUUUUGACUUUACAAGAUUUAUGUAUAGCUAUAGUGUGAGUACAUACCUCCUACUGGUGUCUGAAUACAUAGUUUAGUUUCAAUCCCUAUAGGUUCAUAUAAUAUACUACAUUUCUU